Molecule: ribosomal RNA, 365 nt
Filed under: Clostridia bacterium
Lineage: Bacteria; Bacillati; Bacillota; Clostridia
Description: bacterial SSU rRNA
Rfam family: Bacterial small subunit ribosomal RNA
Source: RNAcentral
AAACUUAAGAGUUUGAUUCUGGCUCAGGAUGAACGCUGGCGGCGUGCUUAACACAUGCAAGUCGAAUGUAGUUUACUACAUGGCGGACGGGUGAGUAACGCGUGAGCAAUCUGCCCAUAUCAGGGGGAUAACAGUUGGAAACGACUGAUAAUACCGCAUAAUAUUGUUGGAAGGCAUCUUCCGACAAUCAAAGAUUUAUCGGAUAUGGAUGAGCUCGCGUCUGAUUAGCUAGUUGGUGAGGUAACGGCCCACCAAGGCGACGAUCAGUAGCCGACCUGAGAGGGUGAUCGGCCACAUUGGGACUGAGACACGGCCCAAACUCCUACGGGAGGCAGCAGUGGGGAAUAUUGCACAAUGGGGGAAAC